Molecule: ribosomal RNA, 517 nt
Filed under: Lasiodiplodia theobromae
Lineage: Eukaryota; Fungi; Ascomycota; Dothideomycetes; Botryosphaeriales; Botryosphaeriaceae
Description: eukaryotic LSU rRNA
Rfam family: 5.8S ribosomal RNA (bases 144-297)
Source: RNAcentral
GCUCCUACGGGAGUAUCGAGCUCGGCUCGACUCUCCCACCCUUUGUGAACGUACCUCUGUUGCUUUGGCGGCUCCGGCCGCCAAAGGACCUUCAAACUCCAGUCAGUAAACGCAGACGUCUGAUAAACAAGUUAAUAAACUAAAACUUUCAACAACGGAUCUCUUGGUUCUGGCAUCGAUGAAGAACGCAGCGAAAUGCGAUAAGUAAUGUGAAUUGCAGAAUUCAGUGAAUCAUCGAAUCUUUGAACGCACAUUGCGCCCCUUGGUAUUCCGGGGGGCAUGCCUGUUCGAGCGUCAUUACAACCCUCAAGCUCUGCUUGGAAUUGGGCACCGUCCUCACUGCGGACGCGCCUCAAAGACCUCGGCGGUGGCUGUUCAGCCCUCAAGCGUAGUAGAAUACACCUCGCUUUGGAGCGGUUGGCGUCGCCCGCCGGACGAACCUUCUGAACUUUUCUCAAGGUUGACCUCGGAUCAGGUAGGGAUACCCGCUGAACUUAAGCAUAUCAAAAGGCGGAGG